UUGGUCAUUUCAGCCCAAUAUGCCGUCAAAUACCUUGCAUAAUUUACUUUGUCACAGGCAAAAAACCAGGGCAGCAUACUUUGCACAGUGGACAAAUGGAGAGCCCAGUUCCCCUCUCUUGUUGCCCUGAUGAAAAGAAGCAAAUCUUCCAUCAUGUCAAGGUAUGUGCUCCAAAAUGCAAAUGUGUGGUUACAGUUGUUUUUCACCACAAAUUCUUCAUAACCUUGCAGUAACUGCUGAAAUGUGUCUGAUGUUAGCAUGCCCUUGAACUCUUCAGAGGGAAAACACUCCUGCAGAUCUGUUGCCACUUGUAAAGCAGCUGCAUUUUGUUCUUGUGUGAGUGUGUCCAAGUUUGCCCACCACCGCAGUUUCUGGAGUGCUUCCAUCAGGAGUUUGUGAGCCCGUAUGCUCCUGUUGUAGUGAUGGCCGGAGAUCACUCCAUCGAUUGAGCUCAAUCAAGAUGUCCUCAAAGCCUGCAUCACCAUACAACUUUCCUAUGCAUGACAGAUACGCCAUUGCUGUGUGGAACUCUCCCAUCCUCACUACGAUUCUCUCAGACUGUCAGCAAUGGCAAUGGAGCGGCUCAGGAUGGUGUGGACAGUGUUGAGAUCAGUCGGACUGGCGUCAAUCACUGGGAGGUAGCCAAUAUGUGUAGAUGGUGGUAGUACUGUGUCUUCCUUCAACAUUAUAUUAUACCCUGUCCAUCCAGGAAGGAUUUUGUGCUGGGCCUCAGGUACUUUCAGUAAAAAGAAUGCAGCAUCAAUUCCUCUACCGGUAGUUUGGGCAUAUCUGUAUUGGUCCUGAUGGAGAUCAAUCUUCAAUGCAAAGUUCUGUGGACCAGACCGCUUUCCUCUUGUGUAUGUUGAAAGAUUCAGUGGAGGAGGAUGAACCGACCGCUCUCGUGUUCUCUGUCUGGGUAAUGUGUCUGAUGAGCAAGGGCAGUAUCAUGCUCAAGGACCUGGGA
Long non-coding RNA from Carassius auratus (goldfish), 964 nucleotides. RefSeq lists it as uncharacterized. The record is from RefSeq and is a predicted model, not a curated record. Lineage: Eukaryota; Metazoa; Chordata; Actinopteri; Cypriniformes; Cyprinidae. The transcript is spliced from 3 exons.